GCAAAGGUAGCAUAAUAAUUAGUUUCUUGAUUAGAAACUGGAAUGAAUGAUUGGACAAGAGAAUUUCUGUCUCUUUUUUAAAUUUUUUGAAUUUUAUUUUUAAGUGAAAAAGCUUAAAUUUUUAUAAAAGACGAGAAGACCCUAUAGAGUUUAAUAUAUGAAGUCAAUUGAAUUUUAGAAAUAAAUUUUGGUUUUAUUUAUUUGGUUGGGGUGAUUAAAAGAUUAAAUGAAUUCUUUAAUUUGGCUAUUAGUGAUUUAUAAUUUUUGAAUCUAUAUUUUAUAAAUAUAAAAUAAAUUACCUUAGGGAUAACAGCGUAAUUUUUCUUUAAAGUUCUUAUUAAAAGAAAAGUUUGCGACCUCGAUGUUGGAUUAAAAUUAAUUUUUGGUGCAAUAACUUAAAAAUUAGGUCUGUUCGACCUUUAAAAUUUUACAUGAUCUGAGUUUAAACCGGUGUAAACCAGGUUGGAUUCUAUCUUUAGAAAUAUAAUAUAUUUUAGUACGAAAGGACCAAAUAUAUAUUAAAUUAAUUG
This 530-nucleotide ribosomal RNA is filed under the name Leptotrichalus sp. MK0855. RNAcentral describes it as "partial 16S ribosomal RNA". It matches the Rfam family "Bacterial large subunit ribosomal RNA", at positions 1950 to 2714 of the family's 2925-position model. Lineage: Eukaryota; Metazoa; Arthropoda; Insecta; Coleoptera; Lycidae. The record is from RNAcentral.